AGAUACCGUCGUAGUUCCGACCAUAAA
RNAcentral lists this non-coding RNA (27 nucleotides) under Xenopus tropicalis (tropical clawed frog). RNAcentral also lists the same sequence under 5 other names. Lineage: Eukaryota; Metazoa; Chordata; Amphibia; Anura; Pipidae. The record is from RNAcentral.